Selaginella moellendorffii is the source of this 759-nucleotide long non-coding RNA. RefSeq lists it as uncharacterized. The record is from RefSeq and is a predicted model, not a curated record. Lineage: Eukaryota; Viridiplantae; Streptophyta; Lycopodiopsida; Selaginellales; Selaginellaceae. The transcript is spliced from 5 exons.
CUGAGCAGUGGCGCCCAGUUCGCUGAAGGGACUGCCGCCGCUACAGCGCCAGGCGAUUUCCAUCGAGAGCACGGUGCUUGGCAGGAUUCUUUGGUCGAAAUGGUGCUGCUUAAGAGCAACGAUUUCCGCUGGAAUUUCUCAACGAAAAUGUGUCCGGGGUCAUAGCAUUUGCUCGCUGGGGUCUAUCCAACUAAUAUUCUUCCAGCGACGUGAAUGGGACUAGUGUCGAACGAUUAGCAUCGAAAUAUGCAGGUAGAUAUCUUGGUCUUCACUUGAUAUCUCACAGGGCGUCCUAAACAAGCCAAGUUGUGUCAAUUCCUACGAUUUCCUGAAAUUCCUGCGAACUUUCCAGUUAUAGAUGCGAAGACUGGGAAGCUGUCCAUAUACCCAACCACAAGUUCAAGACAAGCGUUGUCCGCAAUUUAGAAAACUCGCACAAUUAUUUGGAUGCGAGCAAGAUCAACCUCAUCGUCGCAGACAUGAGAAAAGUUCUUGCCUAUCAUCCAUAAGUGGAGCACGGACGAUUGCAUCGAGGAAAUUAUUCUUCUUGCUCGAAGUCCACAAUGCCCGACUUGCCACUCCUAUUCGCUCUGUAUACAACGAAGCAGAAACUCGCCAGGCGAACUUGUCCAACAAAGACGGCAGGCUGUUGCUCCUCGGAGUCUGGAAAUGUUUCGAUUCCAUGGGAGUUGAUGUUAAAGACAUGAGCUUCCUAUGGAAAAACCUCUAGCAAAGAUCUGGCAGUUUUUCUUUUCUGAA